RNAcentral lists this ribosomal RNA (253 nucleotides) under uncultured bacterium. RNAcentral's name for it is "partial 16S ribosomal RNA". It matches the Rfam family "Bacterial small subunit ribosomal RNA", at positions 524 to 776 of the family's 1533-position model. The record is from RNAcentral.
UACGGAGGGAGCUAGCGUUGUUCGGAAUUACUGGGCGUAAAGCGCACGUAGGCGGCUAUUCAAGUCAGAGGUGAAAGCCCGGGGCUCAACCCCGGAACUGCCUUUGAAACUAGGUAGCUAGAACCUUGGAGAGGUCAGUGGAAUUCCGAGUGUAGAGGUGAAAUUCGUAGAUAUUCGGAAGAACACCAGUGGCGAAGGCGACUGACUGGACAAGUAUUGACGCUGAGGUGCGAAAGCGUGGGGAGCAAACAGG